Molecule: non-coding RNA, 136 nt
Organism: Crocodylus porosus (Australian saltwater crocodile)
Lineage: Eukaryota; Metazoa; Chordata; Crocodylia; Crocodylidae
Source: Ensembl
UGUCUCUUCCUGACCCUGUGUUGCAGGGCACUGUUUCCCUUGCAGCCAGCAGGAGAGACUGAAAGCAACAGCCAGAGGAUAAUCGUCAUGGCUGCCAGGAGCUGCUGGCUGUCAUGUUUUCCUGCCUCUUACAGAA